Long non-coding RNA from Solea senegalensis (Senegalese sole), 510 nucleotides. RefSeq lists it as uncharacterized. NCBI's taxonomy places the organism in Eukaryota, Metazoa, Chordata, Actinopteri, Pleuronectiformes, Soleidae. The transcript is spliced from 3 exons. The record is from RefSeq and is a predicted model, not a curated record.
CUUUACUGGGAACUACAUGGAUUUCCAUCACAGAGAUCAGGAACCAGAUAAGAAAUGAUUUAGAUUUAGGGCCUAUGUGUCAGAUGUGCAUCGUACUGUAUUUGUGUUUGUGCUUUGCAAUGUGGAGUGAUUGCUUUGGGGACUUUACACAGUAAAGUCACUCCAUCUCCAACCCUCACAACAAUGGAAGGAAGUUUUGGGGCCAUAAAUUAAUAACUUUACCAAAUACUAUAAGUCCAAUGAAUUAAUUCAUCUACAGUGACAUGAUUGUCAUCUAGACUUUUGGCCGAUGGUCGGUGUGAGCACGGGUUCAGCAGCUGAGGAGGAAGACAUGGAGGAUGAGUUGGCGUGACGACCAGGAAGACAUUACCAUGGCGAUAAUGAGUCUAACAGACACCCCCCCAACACCUGUCUGGUCCCCCUCAACCAAGACACACACACACACACACACACAUGUCUCAAUGUGAAUGUUUAGACAUUGUAUUUCCACUGUAGUGACUCAUCUUUUGA